AUCUAGCUUGCUAAAUUGAUGGCGAGUGGCGAACGGGUGAGUAAUACAUCGGAACGUGCCCUGUAGUGGGGGAUAACUAGUCGAAAGAUUAGCUAAUACCGCAUACGACCUGAGGGUGAAAGUGGGGGACC
Molecule: ribosomal RNA, 131 nt
Filed under: Ralstonia sp. KK19
Lineage: Bacteria; Pseudomonadati; Pseudomonadota; Betaproteobacteria; Burkholderiales; Burkholderiaceae
Description: partial 16S ribosomal RNA
Source: RNAcentral